AGAUGUGAGGGUGAUCUGGCUGCAACAUCUGUCACCCCACUGAUGGCCAGGGUUAAUUUGUCUGAUCUGGCUGGCGAGGUGGGUGUCCCCUUCCUUCCUCAUCACUCCACGCGUCCCUCCAGACGCUGCGGACGACCUUCCCCAAUAGAGGAGGGCCGUUCUUUGGCCAAGGGUAUAUGAGUAGAUGCAUGCCCCUGCUAGAACCUCCCAACAAGCUCUCUAAAAGUAAUUACUUCAAAGGAGGGAUUGAGAGUUUCAUCCUCUAUGACAGAGUUAAUUUUUCCUUUUUUUUUUUAAUAAAGGUUGUCCUU
Unclassified non-coding RNA from Rhinopithecus roxellana (golden snub-nosed monkey), 311 nucleotides. Its record names the gene 7SK. It matches the Rfam family "7SK RNA". From Rfam's summary of the family: 7SK was discovered as an abundant small nuclear RNA in the mid-70s but a possible function has only recently been suggested. NCBI's taxonomy places the organism in Eukaryota, Metazoa, Chordata, Mammalia, Primates, Cercopithecidae. The record is from Ensembl.